Molecule: small RNA, 2618 nt
Filed under: Drosophila pseudoobscura pseudoobscura
Lineage: Eukaryota; Metazoa; Arthropoda; Insecta; Diptera; Drosophilidae
Description: GA30710
Source: RNAcentral
GCAAACAAGAGGCUGCAGCCCGAGCUGCCCAGCUAUCCGGGUACCCAGCUACCCAUCGCUACCCGGGUACCCAGCUCCACUCGCAUGUGGCUGCCGGGCAAUAAAAAUGGACACACAGCAGAAACAACAUGGCGCUGGCAGAAGGCAACGGUCCGGGACACCGGCACAGAAGCACUCGCCAAUGUACGGGCAACCUGAUGCCGGCGCCUUCCCCCCUCCCACGCCUCAGGCCUCACCGGACACUGGACUAGGAAUAACAGCAUUUAUUCUUCCUUCUGGUUGUACUCUUUGUGUCUUAACUAUUUAUGAGGUCGAGUUGUUUGUGCAGUUUGAUUAUUUUGCUGGCAGGGCGGUAGGCGGAGCACCGGCGACCUGUGCCUCUUCAUAAUUCAACGGUCGGGCUGACAAUCCGGCCAGACGGAGUGCACACACAUUCAGAGGAACGCGCCGUUCAAGUGAGAUCGCAGUGAGCGCCCACGCAACGAGUUUUGUGCAGCGUGUAGGGGAUCACUCGAUGGGCUGUACACACGCACCACAGCUGAUUUGUUAUGGUUUUAAAAAGAACUUAAUGAAAAUCAAAGUAAAGGCCGAUCGGCCCUGUGCCCUGCGGGUCCUAUAUACCCUACAGACUCGCUACAGACUGUGCUUGGGAUCCGCUCGCUACUUUGGCCUAGAAUGGCUGGAGCAUUUCUUGUGGAUUCACAGUCAACGUUCAACGUACUGCAACAUGCAGCAGCCACCAUGAGUUGUAUUGCAUAGCUAAUCACAUCACUUACAGUUCCACACAUUAUAUUAGUGAAUGCUUUGUGUGAAUGUGUCUGACGUCUGCCUAAGUCUGAUGAACGUGAUUAUAUAGUGGAAAGAAUUAUUUGGCCCAGCCAUCUUAUGUGCAUAUUUACGUACACACUUAUAUAGGGAAUUCUUUACACUUUUGAAGGCUCUACGGAGAGAUGCAACUCAUAUACACACAUAUCUGCGACCUUUCCAGUCGCCUUCUCGUGCAGCUGCUAUCCACUACCUGCUCUGGGUAGGGGCCUUCCAAAGCUACAGGCAAACAAUUGCUGCAUUCCAGAAGUCACCGCUAAAACGCCGCAACGCUACAGGACCUGAGCGCUCCCAGUCGUUGCUUCGCUUCUACAAGCAGCACCAACGGCGACGCUACAUCUUGGAACACUUUCAGCGUUCCCUUCCAUUCGGUAUAGUACACUCCUUCACGUCUCUCAAUAUAUAUGGUAUGUUAUACUCGUGUCUUAAUGGAAAGGCGUACUUACAUAUUUGAUAGGUAUCAGUAUGUUUCUGAUGUGUACACUUUAUAACAACUCUCAUGUGUUCCAGGUUCCACGUGAAAAUCCCUACACAGUUUAAUCAGCUGCUAGGCACUGCAUAUUAAUAUUUAUGAGUAAUAUUGACGAAACAAUUCAGAAGUGACUGAUUUCUCAUCCGUGGGGCUGCCUUGACAGCGAUCUUAGUGAGAAUUGUUGACUUCUAGCGACUCAGCGACUUCUACUCUGAGCGCUUCUCGUCGGUGCGUUAAGCACCUGGUGGUCUCGCUACAUAUAUUGGUCUUCUCGACGGUCCAAUUAAAACACGGCAGGAGAACAACUACGAACUACGGUUGAACAUGGAAACGGCUAUUAGUUCGUUCAGCUUCGUAAGGGACUUCUCAGGGUUGCGCUCGCAAAUACAUUGGAACCAAACACGCUCAUCGUUUCACCAUCCAUAUUUAAAGCUCUACGGAUGGAACAACUCAGAGGGGAUAAAUGCACGUAUCAGCUACCAGGUUAUAUUUAACAUUUAAGUACUACCUCGUCAAUAUCUUUUCCUUGCAUCUAGUCUUCCAGCUAUAUAUGCUGUUAGUCUGUAACCGCUCCAUAAAGGGUCUGGCAUACCCAACAGACUUCGGAUCCUCUCGUUACGUAGACUACUGACUCGCUAUGCCGGUUAGCUGCACAGGCCAGGGGGGUGUCCUUUAAGCAUCAAGAGAAACGUGAGGCUACAGGAAUCUUCGCAUAGAUCGCAUACAGUCCAUCUGUAUCGAUGUCGCUUUCCUAGCUAUAGGCGAUCUCUGCAAUCUCUGAAUUGCUCAAUCUAAACGAAAUUUCCGAACACGAAAUAAAGGAAUAACCGAUUCCGGCUCCUCCCAGAGGACAUAGCAAUUAGCAUCGGCCUCCAGGAACUGCUUCUGCUCAGCGAGAUCCGAUUGUAGGUUCUUCUUCUAUCUCCUCUGCCUCUCCUUGCUCCACUGAAUACUGAUCAUCCUGUGCAGACGGACCUGGAAUUCGAGGGAACACUCUUAAAAGAAGAUCGAAACUCCUUCCUAAGUUGUGGCUUGGAAGGGACUGGAACAGGGUAUAAAUGACGUCAAAUGGAACAUUGUCAUUUGGUGCAUAGUGAGGACUUAAGUGCAAUUGCAGACACACACACAUCCGGAUGUAUCGAAGGAAUGGCAGUUCAUUGUGGCUGCUAGAAGAUGUUGGAUAUCAACGACGAAAGACAAGUAUCUAAGGGGUCAACGCGAGGAAGGGAAUACGCCUCAGGGCGGUUGAUGGGACUCUUACGGAACAUACUAUAUAACUCUUAAACGAAAAGCAGUCGUAAUUAAACUUAUACUUAAACGA